RNAcentral lists this transfer RNA (75 nucleotides) under Promethearchaeota archaeon. Its description in RNAcentral is "Candidatus Lokiarchaeota archaeon (marine sediment metagenome) tRNA-His". It matches the Rfam family "tRNA". From Rfam's summary of the family: Transfer RNA (tRNA) molecules are approximately 80 nucleotides in length. The record is from RNAcentral. Lineage: Archaea; Promethearchaeati; Promethearchaeota. RNAcentral also lists the same sequence under 1 other name.
GCCCGCUUAGUAUAGUGGCUAGUAUAGGGGACUGUGGAUCCCCGGACGCGGGUUCAAUUCCCGCAGCGGGCCCCA